This 508-nucleotide ribosomal RNA is filed under the name uncultured bacterium. RNAcentral describes it as "partial 16S ribosomal RNA". It matches the Rfam family "Bacterial small subunit ribosomal RNA", at positions 28 to 523 of the family's 1533-position model. The record is from RNAcentral.
GACGAACGCUGACGGUGUGCUUUAGGCAUGCAAGUCGAACGAGAAAGCCCUUCGGGGUGAGUAAAGUGGCGAACGGGUGAGUAACACGUGGGCAACCUGCCCCUCGCAGGGGGACAACCAGAGGAAACUCCGGCUAAUACCCCGUAAGCCUGUCGAGUCGCAUAGCUCUUCAAGGAAAGGUAGCUUCGGCCAUCCGGCGAGGGAUGGGCCCGCGUUGCAUUAGCUAGUUGGUGGGGUAAAGGCCCACCAAGGCGACGAUGCGUAGCUGGUCUGAGAGGAUGAUCAGCCACACUGGGACUGAGACACGGCCCAGACUCCUACGGGAGGCAGCAGCCAGGAAUCUUGGGCAAUGGGCGAAAGCCUGACCCAGCAACACCGUGUGGGCGAUGAAGGCUCUAGGGUCGUAAAGCCCUGUUGAUAGGGACGAAGGGCGAAGGGUUAAUAGCCCCUAGCUUGACGGUACCUUUCGAGGAAGCCCCGGCUAACUACGUGCCAGCCGCCGCAGUAA